Podarcis lilfordi (Lilford's wall lizard) is the source of this 73-nucleotide non-coding RNA. Lineage: Eukaryota; Metazoa; Chordata; Lepidosauria; Squamata; Lacertidae. The record is from the annotation of a GenBank genome assembly.
CCUCAGAAAGCUCAGUUGGUACAGCAUGAGACUCUGAAUCUCAAGGUCAUGGGUUUGAGCCCCAUGUUGGGCA